Molecule: ribosomal RNA, 484 nt
Filed under: uncultured bacterium
Lineage: Bacteria
Description: partial 16S ribosomal RNA
Rfam family: Bacterial small subunit ribosomal RNA
Source: RNAcentral
AUUGAACGCUGGCGGCAGGCCUAACACAUGCAAGUCGAGCGGAUGAAGGGAGCUUGCUCCUGGAUUCAGCGGCGGACGGGUGAGUAAUGCCUAGGAAUCUGCCUGGUAGUGGGGGAUAACGUCCGGAAACGGGCGCUAAUACCGCAUACGUCCUGAGGGAGAAAGUGGGGGAUCUUCGGACCUCACGCUAUCAGAUGAGCCUAGGUCGGAUUAGCUAGUUGGUGGGGUAAAGGCCUACCAAGGCGACGAUCCGUAACUGGUCUGAGAGGAUGAUCAGUCACACUGGAACUGAGACACGGUCCAGACUCCUACGGGAGGCAGCAGCGGGGAAUAUUGGACAAUGGGCGAAAGCCUGAUCCAGCCAUGCCGCGUGUGUGAAGAAGGUCUUCGGAUUGUAAAGCACUUUAAGUGGGGAGGAAGGGCAGUAAGUUAAUACCUUGCUGUUUUGACGUUACCAACAGAAUAAGCACCGGCUAACUUCGUG